Molecule: ribosomal RNA, 1390 nt
Filed under: Lactiplantibacillus plantarum
Lineage: Bacteria; Bacillati; Bacillota; Bacilli; Lactobacillales; Lactobacillaceae
Also listed under: 1 other name
Description: bacterial LSU rRNA
Rfam family: Bacterial large subunit ribosomal RNA
Source: RNAcentral
GUGAAGAGUCAAAUGCUUUUCACUUUAAGGACAAGCUGUGAUGGGGAGCGAAAUUUAGUAGCGAAGCGUCUGAUGUCACACUGCCGAGAAAAGCUUCUAGUGAGUACUUAACUACCCGUACCGCAAACCGACACAGGUAGUCGAGGAGAGAAUCCUAAGGUGAGCGAGUGAACUCUCGUUAAGGAACUCGGCAAAAUGACCCCGUAACUUCGGGAGAAGGGGUGCUGAUCGCAAGAUCAGCCGCAGUGAAUAGGCCCAGGCGACUGUUUAUCAAAAACACAGGUCUCUGCAAAAUCGUAAGAUGACGUAUAGGGGCUGACGCCUGCCCGGUGCUGGAAGGUUAAAAGGAUGGGUUAGCUUCGGCGAAGCUCAGAAUUGAAGCCCCAGUAAACGGCGGCCGUAACUAUAACGGUCCUAAGGUAGCGAAAUUCCUUGUCGGGUAAGUUCCGACCCGCACGAAAGGCGUAACGAUCUGGGCACUGUCUCAACGAGAGACUCGGUGAAAUUAUAUUGUCCGUGAAGAUGCGGACUACCCGCGACAGGACGGAAAGACCCCAUGGAGCUUUACUGUAGCUUGAUAUUGAGUGUUUGUACAGCUUGUACAGGAUAGGUAGGAGCCAUAGAAACCGGAACGCUAGUUUCGGUGGAGGCGUUGGUGGGAUACUACCCUCGCUGUAUGACCACUCUAACCCGCACCACUAAUCGUGGUGGGAGACAGUGUCAGGUGGGCAGUUUGACUGGGGCGGUCGCCUCCUAAAAAGUAACGGAGGCGCCCAAAGGUUCCCUCAGAAUGGUUGGAAAUCAUUCGCAGAGUGUAAAGGCACAAGGGAGCUUGACUGCGAGACAGACAGGUCGAGCAGGGACGAAAGUCGGGCUUAGUGAUCCGGUGGUACCGUAUGGAAGGGCCAUCGCUCAACGGAUAAAAGCUACCCUGGGGAUAACAGGCUUAUCUCCCCCAAGAGUCCACAUCGACGGGGAGGUUUGGCACCUCGAUGUCGGCUCAUCGCAUCCUGGGGCUGUAGUCGGUCCCAAGGGUUGGGCUGUUCGCCCAUUAAAGCGGUACGCGAGCUGGGUUCAGAACGUCGUGAGACAGUUCGGUCCCUAUCCGUCGCGGGCGUAGGAAAUUUGAGAGGACCUGUCCUUAGUACGAGAGGACCGGGAUGGACAUACCUCUGGUGUACCAGUUGUGCCGCCAGGCGCAUCGCUGGGUAGCUACGUAUGGAUGUGAUAAACGCUGAAAGCAUCUAAGUGUGAAACACACCUCGAGAUGAGAUUUCCCAUUCCUUUAUGGAAGUAAGACCCCUGAAAGAUGAUCAGGUAGAUAGGUUAGAAGUGGCAGUGCGGUGACGCAUGAAGCGGACUAAUACUAAUCGGUCGAGGACUUAACCAA